CCUCCUGCCCGUGCCCUUGCUUGCAUGCUUCACUUUUCUGGGUGCUUGCCUCUUUCUCACUGGCCUCCAGCCUGCCAACACCACGCCAAGAUCCAGAGACACCAUGCUCAAAAGUACCAAACCUCUGUUGGCUUAGAACUGCAUGCAGGAUGACGUCAAGCUUGGGUGGACGUACGUGGUCCUCCUCGGUAGCCGGCGCUGCCUGGGUGGCCAGGCUUGGUUCUGCCAUGCUAUUUCAAGCCUCCAUGCUCGCUCACGCCUUUCCCUCAGCUUGAACACUCAGGGCACCUACGCCCCCACCCUCUACUCUUACUCAUUCUUCAAGCGCUCUCUCUCUCUCUCUCUCUCUCUCUCUCUCUUUCUCUCUCUCUCUCUCCCUCUCUGGAAAUACUCACUCAGCGCUCAUACCUACUCUGUGGGCCAAGGAUGCUUCCUCUCUGUGCUCCCACAGCGUCCUGCAUGAUUCCGCCUUCUUAUUGUUUUGACCUGAUCACACCGCCCUUGUUAAAAGCACUUUAAGGCAUGUAGUGAUGAAUGGUGAUGAAUGGCUCUAUUAGUACCCGCGACCUUACACAGUGCCCUGCACCCAGAACCUCCCACCUGCAGACAGCUUGCAAGCUGUAGGUAAAGGGACCAGGAAGGAAAAGGAAGAGGCUGAAUUUUAGCCAACAGAACCUCUGCUUGCUUUUCUUGGUUGAGUUGUCCCGUGUACCCCUCCCCCACCUUCUCACAGAAAAUACCGCAGGUUUAGGGAUUAAUUUCUGAGAACUCCCCCGGCCCUUUCUCACCUUGUAAAGUUCGGAGGGGUUUCAUUUCCUCACUUAACAAGCUGGGAAACUUUGGCAGUGGAAGAGGGAAAGGAAACUUUCGGGGAUGCCCUAGGGCUGUUCAAUUGUUCAAAUUACUGUCUGUCCCUCCUUGCAGCUUUGGGUUCUGUACAAUUGAGUGGAGACCUCUGACUACCUUAAAACAGCCCCCAUUUCAGUUUGAGUAAGGAUGAAGUUAUUUCCUUACAACUAAAUAUAGAGCGUGAGUCUGUGCUGAUGCAUAACUUAGGCAAAUGCAUGCAAAUCCCUCGUGGGCUGGGGGGAUCCCUGUCUUCUGAGUCACCCAGCCAGAGUUCUCUCCUUGGGGACCUCCAGUCACAGAUCUGAUACUGACCCAGCUGGAUUUCGGAGGCACCCCUGAUCUGGCUUCGAGACCCUGGCUGUAUCUGCUCUCCGUUAAACCAUCCACCAAGUCAAACCAAACAUGGCAGAAGACAUCCUGGCCUUUGGAACCACCCUUUACCCUCCAUCUCUCCCCCUUUUCCUCCUGUCUCUCUGUCUUCUCCCCCUCCUCUCUGCCUGCUCCUUCCUGAUGGAAAUUUGGCCUCUACCUGCCCUUGUGACUGGAAAAAGCAGCGUCAGUUCAUCAAAGCAGAACAAGGCUGCUACUUAGUGUCCUUGAUCUAUGGGUUACCAGGAAGGCCCAGGGUUACCCAGCCCUCUCUGGUCCCAGCCAGAAGUGGGGGUGGGGGCUCUUCAGCAGGUGUGAGGCCUGCCUGUGGCAGAGAACGUCAUCAAAUGGUGGGGAAAGACUGGGCAAGCAGGAAAGGAGGGGUGGCUUUGGAAGGGAUUGUGUGGAGGUGACAUGGCCACCGUGCCAGGUGAGCCAAGCUGGAUAGGACGAGCAAAGAGAAGUGACUUUUUUCCUCAGGUCAGCUGCCUCCUGGUGGAUGCUGGCACUAAGCCUACUGUCUCCCUUGCUAUCACUUGGGGGUUCUUUGGGCAGAUGGACGGAAGAGGCAGGGACAUGUACAGCUAGGAAGAGGUCUUCUGGGGCCAGAGUCCAUUGUUCAGUAGACCGUCCAAGCCGACCGUCUCUUUCCAAGGGUUGAGCAGGACGUUACCUUGUAUCAGCCUGACCAUGGUCCCCAGCACAGCAGCAUGGCAAAAGCCCAGUGCAGUUUGAGGACCUCUUCUAAGCAGCUCACUGGAAGCCUGCCCCCACCUCCAAAUGGCCUGAAAGAAGGCAAGGCUGUGCCUGGGAAUGCACAUUCAUCAGGAAAGACAGAAGGCUCUUAAGAAGGAAGUCCACUCGGGGCCUUCUAACGAGGCCCAGUCCCUUGGUGUCCAUGCCCAGGAUGGUCCAUGGAUAGAGCAGAGACUGGGGAAGAGACCCAGAUGGGCUUUCCCACGGUGCUGCUGUUCCAGCUGUAGAAAUCAUGGUAUGGGCAUGUGCACUAGCACAGCAUACUGGCCCUCAAAACCCACAAUACUCUGUGAAGUUGAAGGAUCCAGGCUCAGGUUGCAUCAAAUUCAUGGCACUUGGAAGCAAGACACACACGCAUCAGUCUCCAGACCUGCAGGAGGAUAAGUCACCUGAGUGUCAGCCAGGUGAUGGGCCCAUCAAGGGACUCAAUGUCCCCAGAGAGCAGUGGCCCUGCAUCCCAAACCAUGGGGAACAGAAGAACUCUCAAAGUGUUGUUCCCAUCGCCAGAGCAUUCUUCAGUAGGAGAAUUUCAGAGCUGGGAGAAUUUGUUUGCCUUUUCACAAGUUCUAAUGUUCCUUUUUGUCAGGCCAAUUUGCAAUACAAAAGGAUGGCCUACCGUUCAAUUAUGGAGAGAGAAAACACAAAACAAACCAAGGCUUCCCAACAUCAAAGUGAAUAUUAUCUUUGGCAAAAUGUGAAAAGAUGUAGGGAGUGGGGGGGGAAAGGCUUCCAGAAGUUUCUGUUAAUAAAGGCUUGUCAGGCCAUCCCGAGGCCCCAUUCCCCAUGGUUCUUCUGCAGGCAUCCAGCUUCUUUCCAUUUUCCUUGUGUUUUCUCUGCCCUCUUACUGCAUCUCUUUGUCCGUUGGCUUGUUUGUGCUGCGCUUGUCAAGUCUGCAUGUUGCAUUUUGCAGCAAGGUGAAGACACAGAACAAGGACUCAAUGUCCUGCCAUGAUUUGUGGGCCUCUUCCUCCUAACUGCCUUGUCUCUGGGAAUUUACCCCUAACCAGCACAGCACAGUGCAGACACAUUGUCCUUGUUCUUUGGAAGAAUAAUCAUUUAGUGACUUGCUGACUGACAAAUAAAACAGUGCCACCCCCCCCACCCCACACAGUGCUGGGGAUCAAACAGGGCCUGUGGCUUUGGCAUCUUCUCUGUUUCUGAGCUCCAUCCCCAACAGUUCAGUAUCACUUCUUCCUCCAUGAACACUACUCCACAUAUACUAUCUCAUUAAAGACUCUUUACAACCAUACCAGAAGAUAGUAUGAUGCUUUUCCCAUUUGGCAGACAAGAAACUGAGUCCUAGUGACAGUAGGCCACUUGGUUGGCGUCCCACAGCUACUAAGUGGCUCAGACAAGGUAAAGACCAAAAAUCUUCCUGACUCCAGGAAGCCAGGCUGUGCGCAUAGUGAAUUGAGAUCCAGAGAACCAGGACAAAUCACAGAAACUGAAAUGGUCCCCCAAUGGAAAUGUGCUAAUAGCUGGGUGCUCUGAGACAGAUGUCCUGAGAUACCAUCUCCCCACAGCAAUCUUCACUCUGCUCCAGUGGGGACACUGAGGUAAUUGCUGUUGUCCCCUUCCUGCUCUUUACUCGUGACAUUAGCAUAACUGGAGAUUCAAAAGCUGCACACAUUGUGGAGCACUCAUGGUGAGCCCCUUGGGCAGGGAGCCCCUUGGGCAGGGCAGUGGCACUCUACACAGAGGCUUCAUAGAUGGCCCUUGUGCUAGUAAGUCCACCCAAGGGCAGUAGGCAACCUCAGACUUACAGAUUCUACAACUUUCAUGGCAAAUUUGGGGAGCCAUUUGUUUUUUCCUGUCCUGUCCAGGAUGACUUAACCCUAUUUGCUUCCUUUCAUACUCUUGAAAGGAAGUUAUUGGAAUGCAAAAACAGAUGAAUCUUCUUGCAUUUAAGACCAAGCAUAUUCUCCCCCUCUCUGCUUCCUUCCCUCCCUCUCAAGCUUUUGAGACAGGGACACUCGGAAGUUCUGUAACUUUGGGGCUGAGGCAGCUCUGUGAAUUUGUGUGGGGGUGGAUGGUGCAUGUGUCAUGGUCAGAGGACAAUCAGGGAUCAAACUCGGGUCAUUAGGCUUGCCCAGCAAGUGCCUUUAUUUGCUAGGACAACUCACAGAUCUUUUUAAAAAAUUUAAAAGUAAUUUAUUAUUUUUAUUAUUUUCUUGUGGGGUUUCUAUGGAAGAGAGCGGAUCUGUCAGGAAGUGGGCCUGGGAGGGAGAAGUUGCCACUUCCCCUCUUUCCAGAGCUCCAUUGUCUCCUGUUCUUGGUUUUAUGAGACACCUCCAGAAUCUGUCGGUGAAGCCUCUUUUCUGCUAAAUUGACCUCAGAUGAAUUUUAUUCCCCAAAUCAAAUGACUGUUCGCUGCAGUGCUUUCCAAACAUCUCCACUAUAUGGCAUCAUCUUGCACAAGCACACGGCACAUGCACGCGUGUUAUUCAUGCCACCAUGUUUGGGGAGUUUUACUCUACGACAGAAUAGCACAAGAAAGAUAUUUGGAGCCUGCAAACUGCCAGACAGCUGGAAGGGCUGUGAGUAGAGGUAGCAUGUGAGCUCAUGCUGAGGGGGAACUUGUAUGUGGAGAGUCCUUCCUUCAGGGGCAGGUAGCCAAUCACAGGCAGUCCUGAGUCCUCAUCUGCCUCACGGUCUAUCUCCCUGAGGUCAGAGCUUUGAGGGUAGGGGAUGCAUCACUGCAGAGCAGCAGGGGAAUUGCCAUGAUGCUUCUUCUUUGCAGCCUUGCACUGAAUGCAGCAAGAAAGAAAGUGGCAGGCUCUGGACUAGGCUGCCGGCUGGAAGCAGCAGAUGACAGGGUGAAUGCCUGGUCAGUCCCUUUGUAAAACACCUUUCCCUUUGCUACUACAUAGUAUGGCUACACAGGCCAUACUGAGAAAUUAUUUAUUCAUUUCACUAAAUUGCAACAGUUAAAUUCUCUGCCAGGCCCUUUCUGUGGCUCAAAGUAAUGCCUAGGUUAGGAAAAGAAGAAAUCUGUUAGCUGGGAAUGUGUGUAAGUGAGAAGCGAGAGAUGGGGGGCCUCUCCAGAGAGCUCCCCACUGCAAGGCCCCAAAUAAGUAUGAGAUGCUUUCCAGCAUAGAUAUCUUCUUGGACUGGGACAAGUGUGUGGAGAGGGCAGGGUGUUGAGCUUGGAUGCAAACGUGAGAAAGGAAGUCUGGCUCCUGCAGUAGAAUAAGAAACAAAGGUAAAGUUGGGUGCAGCCCAGUCGCUGCUAAGCAACAGAAAUCUGGUGAAAGCGAUUGUUCUAGAUUAAUUAGGUCCUGUUUCUAAACAACUAGCUAGUUAUUUUUUUUUACAACCAGUGGACUUCUGUAAGCAGAACUGCUAGAUAGUCCACCAUUUCAAAUGAAUCUGGUGCGGCCCCGCACCUUCCCAAUGGUGGCCAGGCACCUGGCAGAAGUGAAUGACUCCUCUCCAGAAGCAGAGCAUUAAUGCAUCUAUGUGCAACAUAAAAUACAACACACAGAUGUGAAAGUUAGAGGAGAAAAUGUACAAGAGUAGUCAAGAAAAAGAAAAAAAAAAAAAAAAAAAAAAAAACGGCAGAAGCCC
Molecule: non-coding RNA, 5541 nt
Organism: Cricetulus griseus (Chinese hamster)
Lineage: Eukaryota; Metazoa; Chordata; Mammalia; Rodentia; Cricetidae
Source: RefSeq, a predicted model, not a curated record